ACAAAUAUUUUUUAUUUUCAUCCUAAAUAUCUCUUUCAGAUCUCAAUUAAAAGUAAUCUAUGUUCAUUUUAACAAUUCCAUUCCUUAUCCAUAUUUAAUUCUAGGCUAAAUUUCAUAAAAAAUCUUGAACCUUAUGACCCAAUUUAACUUAAAUCUUGAAUUUUAAUUUCUCACUAUUCAGCUCCUGACCUUUUUACCUUUUAAAAUGUGAUCCCUUCAUCGCUCUGGCAUUAAAUAGGUAAUGAAAAAUAGCACGUGCC
RNAcentral lists this long non-coding RNA (260 nucleotides) under Elaeis guineensis (African oil palm). RNAcentral's name for it is "long non-coding RNA (EGUI_LNC008867)". Lineage: Eukaryota; Viridiplantae; Streptophyta; Magnoliopsida; Arecales; Arecaceae. The record is from RNAcentral.